UCUUUUGGCGUCUAUACUAUAUCUCUUUACAUCGCUAUGUCGCCUCUCUCCAUAGAAACCCAGAACGUAGGGCUUCAAAUCCUUAGAGAAAAAUUGUAGAUUUUCUUCGCUCUUCGGAAGUCCGAGAUCAAGUAAAAUUGAUCAGUACUUAUCUUCAUCGUUUCCCAAAGAUCUGAAUUACUUCAAUCUACUUGUCAGGUCAGUUGUCGAUUUUUUCAUUUUUAGAUUCUCAAGUUUUUAUACCGCAUUUAAGUUGAAUCGAAAUUUUUCAAGAAGUCGGAUUCUCGAUGUUUGAUUCAAAUUGCUAGGUUUAAGUUUGAUAAUUAGUAUGAUAAUUAAUUCAUCGCAAUUUGUAGUAAGUUGAAUUUUUGGAUACGUGCUGAAGACUCCCCAAUAUUUCGAGAAUUGGACAGAGUCAACAAGUGAGGAUUUGGAAUCUAAAAACUAAUUUUUUUUCUUAUUGGUAAUAGAAACUGACUAAAUUUACAAUAAAAGUUGGUGUAUCUUUUUCCGGGUUUGGCAUCAAACAUACUGACAUUCUUCUAAAUAGAGAAGAUUUAUUGUACGGUAUCGUCCCUCUUUUCUACUAGUUACUACUAAAAUAUCUAAUAUAUUUACUUUAUGUUGGACAAUAUAUCUAAUUUGUUAUACCUUGGAUUUGAAAUCAUAUAGAGCUGACAAAGAAUAUUGGUAAAAUCAAUAACAUUGGUCAAUAGAAUGUUGUACAAUAGAGGAAUCUAAUUUUGAAGUUUUAUUUUAUUAUCAUCCUCAUUUACUGCCCUAGAAUUAGGGUAAGAGAUGUUCUAAUUCAAAUGAUUCUUUAAGAGCAUAUCUCAUGCAACUCACUUCAUCCAAUGCCAAUUAGUUAGGCCAACUAUGGAACAAGAGAAUUGCACCAUUCUUUGUUUGAAUUUAAUUAAUAAUUUACAACUGCAGAUAUGCCCAAUAAUCGAUUUUGAAUCUUGGCUACUGGAGCAUGUUUUUACAUGCAAAUUGCCUAAUUUUUCAAGGAACGUAAGUCACUUUUAUUAAUUGACCAUAAUAUUUAUGUUAUGUUCUUUAUCUUUUUAAAUUCUUUGAUCUUGUAUAACAUGGAAUAACUCCUUUGACCAAUGCCAAAAGUAAUACUAUCCAUAAGAUGACAGAAGAUAAUUUCAACAUUUAAUAAUUACUAUUGUUUAGUAUUUGAAGGUAGUUAGUUAAUUAUAUCACAAACUAUAAAAUCACUAAUCUCUAUACCGAGUCUACUUGUGCAUUAAAGAAAUAGGGCUCUUUAGCAUAUACGUAUUUUUGCAAAUUCAAUAGUUACUUUUGAGCUUAUAUUUACAUAAUUUUAUCCAUGGCUAAAUAUUGGUGGAAUAUUAAACAACUAGAUGACAUGAAAUUUUAUUUCAAGAGGAGUACUAAUGUAGUGACAAGAAUUUCUUAAGUUAUAUUUUAAUUAUGUUUUGUAGAAGCAGCAAUAACAUUUAACUGCUGUAAAGAAGGUGCCGAAGCAUGCUUGUCUACUCACCUUAUGAAAUAGGCUAGUAGGAUUGUAUUUGAUUUGGAUCAAAUAGAUGAUGACUUCUUGUUCUUAUUAGAUAUCAAGUUCCAAGCUUUUGAAGCAUGUUCAUUUGAUCCUUCAAUCACUUACUCAUAUCAUGAUGAAGCAUUAAAGCUAGUUUCAUGAACAUUUUUCUUACAAUUAGUCUCAUAUGUAUUCUUUUAGAUUUUUAAAGAUGACAUUUUUUAAAAUUGUAAUAUUAACAUGAAGAUGUAAGAUGGAGUUGGUGUAUUAUCUUUAUAAACGGUUAUGUGGAUUAGAAACAACUAUCAUAUAUAUAUUUAAGGCCUGAACACCGUGGCCUUUCUUUUACAUUCCAAUUAGUGAUAAAAACCCUCCAACAAAUUCCUAAGACUUGAUUCAAGAAAUCUUUCACUGGGUGAUUUGUGACAGUGGAGUGCUUUUAGGUUUGUUCCAUCUUUUUCAUGUUUCAUUUCUAAAAACUUUUUGUGAAGUUGGAUUGUAAUGCUUAAUGUUCUCAUCCUUAGUAUAUUUGGUGCUACGUAAUUGGAUGGUAUGCAAUUAUCCCAAUGUGAUAUGUGACUCUUAUUCAAUUUAAAGUCAAAUUUUCUGGUCUCCAGAAUGCAUAUCUGAUAUAAUGUGAAAUCUUAUGAAUCUUAAAAGUAUUUUCACAUGUAGGGAUGGUUGUCGGAUUCAUUUACAUUUAUCAAUUUCGGGAUAAUGAUGAAAAAUAUAAAUCUAUGCAAUUACUACUCCAUGUAUGAACAUGCCGUGAAGAUAACACAAGAGAUAAAAAGGCGUUGCAUCAGUUGAAUCAGUAGAAGCCAAACUAUGACAGGUAUGUUUACAUUUCUUUUUAAUGAUGUAUAUAUGACUAUGACUUAGAGAUUUCUUCAUCGUGUUAUCGAAUCCUGAAAAUUAAUGAAAGUAUGUGAUUUUGACUUUUCAAGUCUAAUGUAUCCUUAACUGUCACAUUAAUUGUUGACAUUAUGACAUAUCUAGAGGUUUAGUCCUCCUAUUAACUUUCUGCUGAGAAAAAAAUGAAUUAAUUUAACUAUAGAACGAAAAUCAUCCAAUGAUAAUGUCAUCUUGUUAAAAAAAAAGGCAUUAAAUUACCAUAUGAAGAUUAGCAUAAAAUUGAUUUUGAGCCUAUACUACUCAACCUUUGAGAUCUUCUCGUAGGAAUUUAUUUUUGAACAAAAAACUUUAAUAGCAAUUCCUUGAUAUGCUAGCAUGAGUUUGUAAAUGUUACAUAGUUGUUCGAUUAAUUAGUGAUGAACUGCAUAUGUGGUUGUUUAUUUAAUUUUAUUUUGUUUUAUCAUUUCAGAACAUAUAUUUUAAUAUUCAAAAACUUGGCAAGUGACAAGACUUCAUUGUGAUCAAGAGUUGGAGAAUAUUUUAUAUGUCUCAUUUUGUCUUUUUAUAGCUAUUUGAUAGCAAAAUUUAUUAGAUUCAAAAUGUGUGAUGAACCAAAAGAUCAUCUCUUAUUUAAAAGUCAAUCUUGUAUUUUGAGGCCUUAAAAACCUCAUUUUGUCUCACCUCGAUUUGCAUGCGCAGUCCGGGCGUAUAUCCGGAAAGCCCUUAUGUGAAAAAUUUGAGAAAAUGCUAAUUCUGCC
This 3123-nucleotide long non-coding RNA is filed under the name Nicotiana tabacum (common tobacco). Its description in RNAcentral is "long non-coding RNA (NTAB_LNC002041)". Lineage: Eukaryota; Viridiplantae; Streptophyta; Magnoliopsida; Solanales; Solanaceae. The record is from RNAcentral.